RNAcentral lists this ribosomal RNA (253 nucleotides) under uncultured bacterium. RNAcentral describes it as "partial 16S ribosomal RNA". It matches the Rfam family "Bacterial small subunit ribosomal RNA", at positions 524 to 776 of the family's 1533-position model. The record is from RNAcentral.
GACGUAGGGCGCGAGCGUUGUCCGGAUUUAUUGGGCGUAAAGAGCUCGUAGGCGGCUUGUCGCGUCGUCUGUGAAAUCCCGCGGCUCAACCGCGGGUCUGCAGUCGAUACGGGCAGGCUAGAGUUCGGUAGGGGAGACUGGAAUUCCUGGUGUAGCGGUGAAAUGCGCAGAUAUCAGGAAGAACACCAAUGGCGAAAGCAGCUCUCUGGGACGGUACUGACGCUGAGACGCGAAAGCGUGGGGAGCGAACAGG